UGGAGGAAGGUGGGGAUGACGUCAAGUCAUCAUGGCCCUUACGACCAGGGCUACACACGUGCUACAAUGGCGCAUACAAAGAGAAGCGACCUCGCGAGAGCAAGCGGACCUCAUAAAGUGCGUCGUAGUCCGGAUUGGAGUCUGCAACUCGACUCCAUGAAGUCGGAAUCGCUAGUAAUCGUGGAUCAGAAUGCCACGGUGAAUACGUUCCCGGGCCUUGUACACACCGCCCGUCACACCAUGGGAGUGGGUUGCAAAAGAAGUAGGUAGCUUAACCUUCGGGAGGGCGCUUACCACUUUGUGAUUCAUGACUGGGGUGAAGUCGUAACAAGGUAACCGUAGGGGAACCUGCGGUUGGAUCACCUCCUUA
This 370-nucleotide ribosomal RNA is filed under the name Salmonella enterica. RNAcentral describes it as "bacterial SSU rRNA". It matches the Rfam family "Bacterial small subunit ribosomal RNA", at positions 1164 to 1533 of the family's 1533-position model. RNAcentral also lists the same sequence under 1 other name. Lineage: Bacteria; Pseudomonadati; Pseudomonadota; Gammaproteobacteria; Enterobacterales; Enterobacteriaceae. The record is from RNAcentral.